GACGAACGCUGGCGGCGUGCUUAACACAUGCAAGUCGAACGCUGAAGCUCAGCUUGCUGGGUGGAUGAGUGGCGAACGGGUGAGUAACACGUGAGUAACCUGCCCCCUUCUUUGGGAUAACGCCCGGAAACGGGUGCUAUUACUGGAUAUUCACUGAUCUUCGCAUGGGGGUUGGUGGAAAGGUUUUUUCUGGUGGGGGAUGUGCUCGCGGCCUAUCAGCUUGUUGGUGGGGUGAUGGCCUACCAAGGCUUUGACGGGUAGCCGGCCUGAGAGGGUGACCGGUAACAUUGGGACUGAGAUACGGCCCAGACUCCUACGCGAGGCAGCAGUGGGGAAUAUUGCCCAAUGGGCGAAAGCCUGAUGCAGCGACGCUGCGUGAGGGCUGGGGGCCUUCGGGUUGUAAACCUCUUUCGCUAAUGGUCAAGCCGAAACAUUGGUUGUGGUGAGGGUAGUGGGUAAAGAAGCGCCGGCUAACUACGUG
This 481-nucleotide ribosomal RNA is filed under the name uncultured bacterium. Its description in RNAcentral is "partial 16S ribosomal RNA". It matches the Rfam family "Bacterial small subunit ribosomal RNA", at positions 28 to 507 of the family's 1533-position model. The record is from RNAcentral.